GGGCCUGUAUUAUAACGGUUCAUUAUUUUCGGCUGGCAGUCGAAAGAUCCGGGUUCGAUUCCCGGCAGGUCCA
Molecule: transfer RNA, 73 nt
Filed under: Candidatus Pacearchaeota archaeon RBG_13_36_9
Lineage: Archaea; Nanobdellati
Description: tRNA-Ala
Rfam family: tRNA
About the family: Transfer RNA (tRNA) molecules are approximately 80 nucleotides in length. Their secondary structure includes four short double-helical elements and three loops (D, anti-codon, and T loops). Further hydrogen bonds mediate the characteristic L-shaped molecular structure. tRNAs have two regions of fundamental functional importance: the anti-codon, which is responsible for specific mRNA codon recognition, and the 3' end, to which the tRNAs corresponding amino acid is attached (by aminoacyl-tRNA synthetases). tRNAs cope with the degeneracy of the genetic code in two manners: having more than one tRNA (with a specific anti-codon) for a particular amino acid; and 'wobble' base-pairing, i.e. permitting non-standard base-pairing at the 3rd anti-codon position.
Source: RNAcentral